Molecule: ribosomal RNA, 336 nt
Filed under: uncultured soil bacterium
Lineage: Bacteria
Description: bacterial SSU rRNA
Rfam family: Bacterial small subunit ribosomal RNA
Source: RNAcentral
AGGACGAACGCUGGCGGCGUGCUUAACACAUGCAAGUCGAACGAGGUCCAGCUAAUCUUCGGAGAGGCGAAGACCUAGUGGCGAACGGGUGCGUAACACGUGAGAAACCUGCCCCAGACUUGGGAAUAACAGUCGGAAACGACUGCUAAUACCGAAUACCUUCGUAGCGUCACAUGGUGCAUCGAAGAAAGCUUUAUGACGGUUUGGGAGGGUCUCGCGGCCUAUCAGCUAGUGGUGAGGUAACGGCUCACAAGGCAUCGACGGGUAGCUGGUCUGACGAGGAUGAUCGAGCCACGACGUGGGACUGGACGACCACGGCCAGACCUCCGUACGGGA